AUGGAAAAGGGGGAGAAAAAAGGAACAGAAAAGAGGGGAAAAAGUGGAAAAGGAAAGAAAAGAAAAUGGGUAAAUCGAAAUGGGGGAAAAGGGGGAAAAUGGGAAAAAAUCAAGGAGAAAAUUGGAAAAGGAGGAAAAAAGAGUGGGGAAAUAAAAAAGGGAAAAAUGGAAAUGGGAGGAGAAAAGGAAAAUGGGAGAAAGAAAAUAGAAAAGGGGAAAAGAGGGAAAAAGAAGAGAAAGCAAAUGGGAAAAAAUGAAAAAGGAGGGAAAAACCCCAACCCAAGCAAGCCCAGAGGGGCUGGAAAGGGCAGAGCUUUGAUUUGGGUUCAAAACCCCCAGUUUGGGGUUCAAAAACCCCUUUUGGGGUUCAGAGCCCAGUCAGGGCUUGAAAUUGCCCCAGUUUGGGGUUCAGAGUCCCAGUUUGGGUUUGAAAUUGCUCCAGGUUGGGGUUCCAAGCCCCAGUUUGGGGUUCCAAGCCCCAGUUUGGGGUUCUGAACCCUGUUUUGGGGUUCAAAUCCCAGUUUGGGGUUUUCUUAGCCCAAGUUUGGGGUUCCAAACCUCAGUUUGGGAUUCCAAGCCCAGUUUGGGGCUCCAAAAUCCAUUUUGAGAUUCCAAGCCCCACUUUGGGGUUCUGAGCUCAAUUUAGGAUUCCAAACCCCAGUUUGGGAUUCCAAACCCCAUUUCUGGGGUUCCAAGCCCCAUUUUGGGGUUCCAAACCCCAUUUUGGGAUUCCAAACCCCAUUUUUGGGAUUCCAAGCCCGUUAAGGGUUCAAAGUCCCUUUUUGGGGUUCCAAGCCCCAUUCUGGGGUUCCAAGCCCAGUCUGGGUUGGUUCCGGCGCUGGGGGGGGUCGGGGUACCCCAAAAGGGGCUCUGGGACCCCCCGAGCGCGGUGGGGGGGGGGAUCCCCAAA
RNAcentral lists this long non-coding RNA (910 nucleotides) under Junco hyemalis (dark-eyed junco). Its description in RNAcentral is "lncRNA (ENSJHYG00000006142.1)". The record is from RNAcentral. Lineage: Eukaryota; Metazoa; Chordata; Aves; Passeriformes; Passerellidae.